RNAcentral lists this ribosomal RNA (368 nucleotides) under uncultured bacterium. Its description in RNAcentral is "bacterial SSU rRNA". It matches the Rfam family "Bacterial small subunit ribosomal RNA", at positions 337 to 715 of the family's 1533-position model. The record is from RNAcentral.
UCCUACGGGAGGCAGCAGUGGGGAAUAUUGCACAAUGGGCGNAAGCCUGAUGCAGCGACGCCGCGUGNGGGAUGACGGCCUUCGCGUUGUAAACUCCUUUCGCUAGGGACGAAGCUUUUUGUGACGGUACCUAGAUAAGAAGCACCGGCUAACUACGUGCCAGCAGCCGCGGUAAUACGUAGGGUGCGAGCGUUGUCCGGAAUUACUGGGCGUAAAGGGCUCGUAGGUGGUUUGUCGCGUCGUCUGUGAAAUUCCGGGGCUUAACUCCGGGCGUGCAGGCGAUACGGGCAUAACUUGAGUACUGUAGGGGUAACUGGAAUUCCUGGUGUAGCGGUGAAAUGCGCAGAUAUCAGGAGGAACACCGAUGG